CUGACUAUAUUUAAAAAGCAUACAUAUCUCUUCUCAAGAUGCUCGAUUGAAGAACAACUCAGCUCCAUCUCUUGGUCUUGGAUGUGGAUCAUCGGUCUCAUUUUCAUUCAUCUUAGAAUGAGACAUUAAUAAGAACAAUCUAUCCAAAUAAAAACAUAAAUUACCAAAAAGAAAAUCUCAUAUCUCAUCAAAAAAUAAAUAAAUUUACGAUCUUGUGAAUAAAAUUAGUUCUGUAGCAUCAACUUAAAAGAAAUAUUUCAGUUAAAAUUAGCAGAUUGGAAUUCAUAGAUCCAUUGUAGUGUUGAACAAAUAUCUCCAGCUGAGUGCUGAUAUAAUCUAAAAAGAUACUCCAAUGCACAAUAUUUUUGAUGGUCCUGGAUCAGAUUGAUCCAAAUGUACUGUACAGUUAGUAAGACUCCUGCAAAAAGGUCUGUUAAGACAUAGAAUGAAAGAUGUGAAAAUAUUAUAAAAUACAACCAAUAAAACAUGGAAAUUUGAGGUGUACAGUAUAUGCCAGAUACUCAAUUUCCACUAGAAUGAAGUAUCACUAGACUCAUCUGAUUUAAGGGCACAAAGAAUGCAUAGUAGUUGGAAACUUAGGCCACAACUAGAUGCUCAGAAAUGAACACUGCGCAGCUUCCUCUAGGACAAUCAUUCAUACUGUAACUCAAAUGUCAUGUAUUAGAUUGAUAAGAAUAAGAAGAGUUUUAUUCAGAAGAGUCAGGAUAGAUGUGGUGCAGAAGAUAAAGUAGAGGAGAAGUAAAAGAAGCCAAAGCAGGGAGAAAAGAAAAGAAGACAAAACUCAGCAAAGAGGAGAUGAUCUUGAGAUUUUACAAAGUGGACCAGCCCGGAACAGGGAAAACAUAAGCAGGUACAUCUGUGAGUCUUCUGGCUCCAUUAACAUCUUCCUUUGAUGAGAAAACACAUCGAAGAGGAAGUUAAAACAUAUUACGUGACAUAAAAGUGCAUAAAAAUAAAUUACCAUAAAAUAUAAGGAAUGAACAACCUUAAUCAAAUAGAAAUUUAGCAAUAAGCAGUUAACUGCAGUCAUCAUGUAAAUUUGCAUUACGAUACGUCUAUUUAUCUAUCCAUGCAACAUAAGCAUCCUUUACAUUAGUUUCAGCAAUAUGGCAAACCAGUAGCAAUUGUGUUUUGUGAGGACCUACCAGAGACUAUAAUUUUAAACUGCAGGAGAGAGGAAGAAAACUAUCAAAUAACAUCAUUCAGAAUUUUUUUUAAGAACUUAAGGAACGUUCUUUGAACAUCACUAUUUGACAAAGGAUAGAUUGGAAGAGGAGGGGGUUCCUCUAGAAAUGCAGAUAAAUCUCAUAUCUCAUAAAAAAACAGAUAAAUUCACAAUCUUGUGAAUAAAAUUAGUUCUGUAGUAUCAACUUAGAAGAAGCAUCUCAGCUAAAAUUAUUUUUCGAUUGAACCAAAUUCCAAAAAUUUAAUUUUGCAGGUUCGGAGCAAACCAAAACAAACAAUAAGCAAUUCAGGAAUCAUGACGUAUCUCAACAUUACCAGUAGAUGA
RNAcentral lists this long non-coding RNA (1531 nucleotides) under Elaeis guineensis (African oil palm). RNAcentral's name for it is "long non-coding RNA (EGUI_LNC081769)". The record is from RNAcentral. Lineage: Eukaryota; Viridiplantae; Streptophyta; Magnoliopsida; Arecales; Arecaceae.